RNAcentral lists this ribosomal RNA (805 nucleotides) under fungal endophyte. RNAcentral describes it as "eukaryotic LSU rRNA". The stretch from base 471 to 805 matches the Rfam family "Eukaryotic large subunit ribosomal RNA", at positions 1 to 338 of the family's 3401-position model. The record is from RNAcentral. Lineage: Eukaryota; Fungi.
UGACCUGCGGAGGGAUCAUUACCGAGCUCGGGCUAACCGCCCGACCUCCCAACCCUUCUGUCGUCUCCGACCGCGUUGCCUCGGGGGUCCCGCCGUCUGGCGGCCCCCGGAGGACCACAUAACACUGCGUAACCGUCGUCCGAGUCUAAACGAAAUUUGAAACACAACUUUCAACAACGGAUCUCUUGGCUCUGGCAUCGAUGAAGAACGCAGCGAAAUGCGAUAAGUAAUGUGAAUUGCAGAAUUCCGUGAAUCAUCGAAUCUUUGAACGCACAUUGCGCCCCUCGGUAUUCCGGGGGGCAUGCCUGUUCGAGCGUCAUUACACCAAUCAAGCCUCGGCUUGGUCUUGGGCGUCGCGGUCUCCCGCGUGCCUCAAUGUCGCCGGCUGGUGCGACCGUCUCUAAGCGUUGUGAAUCAACAGUCGCUCCGGAGGUCGGUCGGGCCGCGCCGUCAAGCCUUCUUUUACAGGUUGACCUCGGAUCAGGUAGGGAUACCCGCUGAACUUAAGCAUAUCAAUAAGCGGAGGAAAAGAAACCAACAGGGAUUGCCCUAGUAACGGCGAGUGAAGCGGCAACAGCUCAAAUUUGAAAUCUGGCGUCAGCCCGAGUUGUAAUUUGUAGAGGAUGCUUCUAGGCAGCGGCCGGUCUAAGUUCCUUGGAACAGGACGUCACAGAGGGUGAGAAUCCCGUAUGUGACCGGUUGGCACCUUAUACGUAGCUCCUUCGACGAGUCGAGUUGUUUGGGAAUGCAGCUCUAAAUGGGAGGUAAAUUUCUUCUAAAGCUAAAUACCGGGCCAGAGACCGAU